RNAcentral lists this ribosomal RNA (545 nucleotides) under uncultured organism. Its description in RNAcentral is "bacterial SSU rRNA". It matches the Rfam family "Bacterial small subunit ribosomal RNA", at positions 378 to 917 of the family's 1533-position model. The record is from RNAcentral.
CAACCCUGAUCCAGCCAUGCCGCGUGCGGGAAGAAGGCCUUCGGGUUGUAAACCGCUUUUGUCAGGGACGAAAAGCUCCGGAGUAAUAUGCCGGAGUGCUGACGGUACCUGAAGAAUAAGCACCGGCUAACUACGUGCCAGCAGCCGCGGUAAUACGUAGGGUGCAAGCGUUAAUCGGAAUUACUGGGCGUAAAGCGUGCGCAGGCGGUUGGGUAAGACAGAUGUGAAAUCCCCGGGCUUAACCUGGGAACUGCAUUUGUGACUGUCCGACUGGAGUACGUCAGAGGGGGGCGGAAUUCCACGUGUAGCAGUGAAAUGCGUAGAUAUGUGGAAGAACACCGAUGGCGAAGGCAGCCCCCUGGGACGCAACUGACGCUCAUGCACGAAAGCGUGGGGAGCAAACAGGAUUAGAUACCCUGGUAGUCCACGCCCUAAACGAUGUCUGCUGGUUGUUGGGAAUUUAAUUCUCAGUAACGAAGCCAACGCGUGAAGCAGACCGCCUGGGGAGUACGGUCGCAAGAUUACAACUCAAAUGAAUUGACGGA